AUGGGGGAGGUCGCGGCGGAGCUGUACACCCAGGAUGGCACCAUCGACAUCAAGGGCAACCCGGCCCUCAAGAAGGACACCGGCAACUGGCGCGCAUGCCCCUACAUCCUCGCGAACGAGUGCUGCGAGCGGCUGGCCUAUUACGGCAUGAGCACCAACCUCGUCAACUUCAUGAAGGACCGGAUGGGCAUGGCCAACGCCGCCGCCGCCAACAACGUCACCAACUGGGGCGGCACCUGCUACAUCACGCCGCUCAUCGGCGCCUUCCUCGCCGACGCCUACCUCGGCCGCUUCUGGACCAUCGCCUCCUUCAUGAUCAUCUACAUCUUCGGCCUCGGCCUGCUCACCAUGGCCACCUCCGUGCACGGCCUCGUGCCCGCCUGCGCCUCCAAGGGCGUCUGCGACCCCACGCCGGGCCAGUCGGCGGCGGUCUUCAUCGCGCUCUACCUCAUCGCGCUCGGCACCGGCGGGAUCAAGCCAUGCGUGUCGUCGUUCGGGGCCGACCAGUUCGACGAGCACGACGACGUGGAGCGCAAGAGCAAGAGCUCGUUUUUCAAUUGGUUCUACUUCUCCAUCAACAUCGGCGCGCUGGUGGCCUCGUCCGUUCUGGCACCAGCGCCCCGGCGGCAGCCCGCUCACCCGGCGCAGGUGCUCGUCGCCGCCACGCGCAAGCUCGGCGUCCCCGUCGACGGGUCGGCGCUGUACGAGACCGCGGACAGGGAGUCCGGCAUCGAGGGCAGCCGCAAGCUGGAGCACACGGAGCAGUUCAGGUUCCUCGACAAGGCGGCCGUGGAGACGCAGGCGGACAAGACGGCCACCGGGCCGUCGCCGUGGCGGCUGUGCACAGUGACGCAGGUGGAGGAGCUCAAGAGCGUGGUGCGGCUGCUGCCCAUCUGGGCGAGCGGCAUCGUCUUCGCCACGGUGUACGGGCAGAUGAGCACCAUGUUCGUGCUGCAGGGCAACACCCUGGACGCCUCCAUGGGGCCCAAGUUCAAGAUCCCCUCCGCCUCCCUCUCCAUCUUCGACACCCUCAGCGUCAUCGCCUGGGUGCCAGUCUACGACCGCAUCCUCGUCCCCGCCGUGCGCUCCGUCACCGGCCGGCCCCGCGGCUUCACCCAGCUCCAGCGCAUGGGCAUCGGCCUCGUCGUCUCCAUGUUCGCCAUGCUCGCCGCCGGCGUGCUCGAGCUCGUCCGCCUCCGCACCAUCGCGCAGCGCGGCCUCUACGGGGAGCACGACGUCGUGCCCAUCUCCAUCUUCUGGCAGGUGCCGCAGUACUUCAUCAUCGGCGCCGCCGAGGUGUUCACCUUCGUGGGCCAGCUCGAGUUCUUCUACGACCAGGCGCCCGACGCCAUGAGGAGCAUGUGCUCCGCGCUCUCCCUCACCACCGUCGCCCUCGGGAACUACCUCAGCACGCUCCUCGUCACCGUCGUGGCCAAGCUCACCACCAGGGGAGGCAAGCAAGGGUGGAUCCCCGACAACCUCAACGUCGGCCACCUCGACUACUUCUUCUGGCUGCUCGCCGCCCUCAGCCUCCUCAACUUCGCCGUCUACCUCCUCAUCGCCAGCUGGUACACCUACAAGAAGACCGCCGGAGAUGAUCACCCAGACGCCAUAGCCAAAGGGGGAGCUCAUGAUUGA
RNAcentral lists this ribosomal RNA (1638 nucleotides) under Triticum aestivum (bread wheat). Its description in RNAcentral is "partial small subunit ribosomal RNA". The record is from RNAcentral. Lineage: Eukaryota; Viridiplantae; Streptophyta; Magnoliopsida; Poales; Poaceae.